RNAcentral lists this long non-coding RNA (947 nucleotides) under Mytilus galloprovincialis (Mediterranean mussel). Lineage: Eukaryota; Metazoa; Mollusca; Bivalvia; Mytilida; Mytilidae. The record is from RNAcentral.
UAGAAAAUAAAUAACUCAGCAGGUCUAAUCGAAAGUAUGAGAUGGCACCAGAUUCUUUAUAAAUUCAUCUUUUUUCCCCAAAAAAAUCGGGAAACACUUCCAACAUUUUUUAAUAACAAAAGUAUAAAUAUUAUUUAAAUAUACUUGAAAUGUCUGAAAAUUGGUUUCAUUUAACUUGAGGUAUAUUGUCUCAAGAAACCUUACCACACCUUUAUUUUAACAAGGCCGUAACUACAUGUAGGAAAUUUCAAAACCAAACGCUUGUCUCUAUAUCAAAUUGUGUUCACGGCCUUGCAAGAAGAAAGUUCUGUUUUCCCUCAGACUUAUAGCCCUGAUUUUUCGGGAUCAAUGUUUCUUAUUUAUUUGUCUUUUGUUCAUUGAUUGCCCUUCUGUAUUCUGUUAGUGUUGCAUUCCUUUUGUAAUCUAGUAAUUUUGUUAUGAACUUGAUCAUGAGUUUAAAAAAAAAACAGCAGCUACAGGCCUAACUAUGUGAAUUCCAUUUUUGCUUUAUCAUGCACAUUGAUCUUUUGAUGUUGUCCCUAGAAACUUCAGUCUUGCACUGAAUUUAUACAUUUUGCUUUGAGACCAAAAUAUUGUCAAAAAUUAUUAAAACAAAACUUCAUUUUCAGAUUAUGAAAGGGUCUUCAGAACACCAGAAAGCAUGAUUUUGCAUCAUUUGUUCUAUAGCUUCUUGGGCCUUCAGUGGCUCCAAACCCCUUCAAAAAAAAUUUUGCCUCGCUCCGCUCGGCGUAGUAUGUUUGCCAAUACAUUUAAAAGUUCCUACUUAUAACUAAACUUCAAUACUAUGUAUGUAUGCAAUACAUGUAUAUGCAGUUGGGAAUUUAAAACAUUCAUUUCUGCAGAGGGGGAUGGUUAAUCUAAUUAAAUAGUACAUAAUGACUUGACUAUACUAUAUGUAUUAUUUAUAAUAAACAAAUCAUUUAAAA